MicroRNA precursor from Cercocebus atys (sooty mangabey), 85 nucleotides. NCBI's taxonomy places the organism in Eukaryota, Metazoa, Chordata, Mammalia, Primates, Cercopithecidae. The record is from Ensembl.
GGACCUACCCUGGGCUUUCUAGUCUCAGCUCUCCUCCAGCUCAACUGGUCAGGAGAGCUGAGACUAGAAAGCCCAGGGCAGGUUC